This 246-nucleotide unclassified non-coding RNA is filed under the name Melitaea cinxia (Glanville fritillary). RNAcentral's name for it is "misc RNA ENSMCXG00005000084.1". Lineage: Eukaryota; Metazoa; Arthropoda; Insecta; Lepidoptera; Nymphalidae. The record is from RNAcentral.
CCUUUAGUCUCGAGAGUACAUUACCCUGUAACAUCCCACUGCUGGACUUCUGCCUCUUUUUCAAUGUAGGAAAAGAAAAAACUCAAAGCUUGCUCCAUCACGCUGCUUCCUGCAGAUUGACGGACAGAUACGUGAACAUCUCCAAAAUAUCAAAUGUACAAACAAUUACAUCAUAAUAAUUAUCAAUAAUUAUGUUCGAAGCUGUCGAGGCUAAAGUGAUACAUCUUAAGACAACGCAUCGCUGUG